This 253-nucleotide ribosomal RNA is filed under the name uncultured bacterium. RNAcentral's name for it is "partial 16S ribosomal RNA". It matches the Rfam family "Bacterial small subunit ribosomal RNA", at positions 524 to 776 of the family's 1533-position model. The record is from RNAcentral.
GACGGAGGAUGCAAGCGUUAUCCGGAAUGAUUAGGCGUAAAGCGUUCGCAGGUGGCUGUUCAAGUCUGCUGUCAAAGACCGGGGCUUAACCCUAGAAAGGCAGUGGAAACUGGACGGCUGGAGUGCAGUAUGGGUAGAGGGAAUUCCCAGUGUAGCGGUGAAAUGCGUAGAGAUUGGGGAGAACACCGGUGGCGAAAGCGCUCUGCUGGACUGCAACUGACACUGAGGGACGAAAGCUAGGGGAGCGAAAGGG